AAAUAAAUCCAAUGCUUCCUGGAUUGCUGUGGAAUGUAUUUUGGCAUUUAAGUCUUCAAUCCUGACCUGUAACCGCUUAUAUGGAUGUAAGCCACACUGAACUCAUAGGGACUUGCUUCUGAGUAGAUGUGUAUAGGAUUGUACUGCUGAUAUUCCUUUUUUUACCUGAGCAAUCUUCUCUCCAUGACCUAUAUACAGUGUAGUACUUCUAGCAUUCUGUCAGCUAAAUUAAAGCUAAGGAAGCCACGUACAAGCUCAGAACAGCCUUUCUUCUUCCGAAGAUAUUAAUAGCUCAGGCUACAGGGAAUGACAAAGACUAGGAAACAAAGUUCAUUUUCUCCCAGCACAUCAAGAGACCUCUUUAAAAUGAAACACAAAAUCUCUUUUUAAAACCACAAUUUUGAUAUGAUAUUUGAAAGGAAAUUAUAACUAAAAGAGGGCCAAGCAGUGGAAGACAUGAAAGUCAUUCUGGAGUACUUCCACUGUAUCAGAAUAGAAGAGAUGCAAAUCGAGUCUUCUAAUAUAAAAUACAAAAAUCUGCACAUCAAGGUAAGGGCUGGUGUAUAUAUGAUUCUUGGGGGGGAAAUAAUGUUUUCCUUCUCCUGCUGAACCUAGAUUCUGUUUAACAUUUAAAAAAUACAAAACAUUUCUUGGACAAUGGAAAACCAACAUAUCUAUAUUUAUGACACUUGAAAAUUAAGACUUAUAUAACAAAUACAAUAUUUCCUUAAUGUAGACUUUAAAGUAGCCUCAAGAUAUAGGGGUAGAUUUUAAUAGAUAUUCCCAACUCAAGAAUAGAAAACAGAAUGUAGGUGGAAAUGAAAAGAGAUUUAAAGGUGGGCUUAAACCCAAUCUUAAAAGCUGUGGCAAAGAUGCUUAGAACUGGAAGCUUUGGCCCUUGAGCAUUCUAACUGAUGGUCAGCUGUUACCAACAGUGCUGUGGAAUUCGAAGAGGAACAAAUGGAGGGUGAAAGGGAGAAACACAUCAAGAGGAAGCCAACUGUUUCUAUCGGCUCCACCUAACAUGGUCGAUGAUAAGGGAUUAUGGAGGUUGCAGUUCAUUCAUAUAGGCUAUGUGUAUAAGGAACCCUUCUUUGUUCUUUUCACCAUACUGAAAUUCUCUGAGGGGUGGAUCAAUAAAUGGAUGCAAGCUUCAUAUCACAGCUUAUUAAAGUUUCCCACCAAAGCAGCGACCAGCCAGUGAUGACAUCAGACAAAGCCCUGGACCAACCAGGGAACAGAUCCUAGAUGGACACUUUCUGAACCAAUCAGGAGCUGGUGCGGGAGUCUUGAAGCUGUCAAAAUGUAGUAAAUAUGCUAUGUGUUCUCAAUUACAAUAUGUCAACUCUCUCCACUGACAGCCUCUCUGAUCAUUGAGA
Molecule: long non-coding RNA, 1379 nt
Organism: Anolis carolinensis (green anole)
Lineage: Eukaryota; Metazoa; Chordata; Lepidosauria; Squamata; Anolidae
Exons: 3
Source: RefSeq, a predicted model, not a curated record